AACGCACCUUGCGCUCCUUGGUAUUCCGAGGAGCAUGCCUGUUUGAGUGUCAUUUAAUUCUCAAUCUCUACAAACUUGUGUUGUUAGUGGAUUGGAGGUGGGGGUUUCUGUGGGUGUAUUUUUUAUAUCCACUCCCCUGAAAAUUAUUAGCUGGAAUGCCUUUGCAAAACCAACUAUCAGUAUGAUAAUUAUCUAUUCUGAUGUUGCUGUGAAGGGAAUCUGCUUUCAAACCGUCAUUCUGACACUUUGAAUCCAUUUGACCUCAAAUCAGGUAGGACUACCCGCUGAACUUAA
RNAcentral lists this unclassified non-coding RNA (294 nucleotides) under uncultured Conocybe. Its description in RNAcentral is "partial contains 5.8S ribosomal RNA, internal transcribed spacer 2, and large subunit ribosomal RNA". The stretch from base 1 to 52 matches the Rfam family "5.8S ribosomal RNA", at positions 103 to 154 of the family's 154-position model. The record is from RNAcentral. Lineage: Eukaryota; Fungi; Basidiomycota; Agaricomycetes; Agaricales; Bolbitiaceae.